AAUGAACGCUGGCGGCAGGCCUAACACAUGCAAGUCGAACGGAUCCUUCGGGAUUAGUGGCGGACGGGUGAGUAACGCGUGGGAACAUACCCAAAGGUACGGAAUAGCCUCGGGAAACUGGGAGUAAUACCGUAUGUGCUCGAAAGAGGAAAGAUUUAUCGCCUUUGGAUUGGCCCGCGUUGGAUUAGGUAGUUGGUGGGGUAAUGGCCUACCAAGCCGACGAUCCAUAGCUGGUUUGAGAGGAUGAUCAGCCACGCUGGGACUGAGACACGGCCCAGACUCCUACGGGAGGCAGCAGUGGGGAAUCUUAGACAAUGGGGGAAACCCUGAUCUAGCCAUGCCGCGUGAUCGAUGAAGGCCUUAGGGUUGUAAGGAUCUUUCAGGUGGGAAGAUAAUGACUGUACCACCAGAAGAAGCCCCGGCUAACUCCGUGCCAGCAGCCGCCGUAA
Molecule: ribosomal RNA, 449 nt
Filed under: uncultured bacterium
Lineage: Bacteria
Description: partial 16S ribosomal RNA
Rfam family: Bacterial small subunit ribosomal RNA
Source: RNAcentral